RNAcentral lists this long non-coding RNA (2287 nucleotides) under Trifolium pratense (red clover). RNAcentral's name for it is "long non-coding RNA (TPRA_LNC004341)". The record is from RNAcentral. Lineage: Eukaryota; Viridiplantae; Streptophyta; Magnoliopsida; Fabales; Fabaceae.
AAAACGAAAGAUGCUUCUCACAAACGCGACCCUCUCCCUCAACACGGACAAAACCGAACCCUAAACGCCUCUCCGUCGCGAACUUCUCCCUCUUUGCAACAAAGCCCUAAACGCCUCUCCACGAAUCCCCUCUCUCCGAUGCCUCUCGGCGAACCUUCCUUCCUCUGCGACGAAAUCCUUUCUACUACCACCGGUGACUUUGUUCUUCCGCCUCGUUGUUCAGAGUUUUCAAGGUUAAAUCGGUUUUCCUUUCGAUUCUAGUCUUCUCAUUCUUCAAUAGAUUCUGAUUCUAAUUUUCCUUUUGUUUUGCUUCAUUUUGCUUUCAGAGUUUUCAAGGGUUUUUCAACAGUUCUCUUCGUUGUUUCCGCCAUCAUUACGUUCAAGUCUUAAUCAAUAUGUAUCCCUAUUUCUUCAGUAAGUAGAUCCGAACUAUGUUUAUCUCAAUCUUAAUUUUCUAUGAUGUGUGAUACUGUGGUUUCUAAGCUUCGAUUUGGAAUCUGGUAGUUCUGUCCCGAAUUUGCGAUUAGACAAUUUUUUCCCACGUUCUUAAUGCUUGUAGAUUUCUCCACACAUUUAGUUAUCAGUAACUUAUUUAACACCAGUGAUAAUUUAUUCUAGUUAAAUAUAUGAAAUAAGGUAUAAAGAGGUGCUUUUGGUAAAGGUACUUUAAUCUACUGUUCAAUAUCCGCUAAUUUUUGUCAAAUAGAGUCAUACUCUCGUGGAAAUUUGUCUUUGAAAUAACCGAAAUCCCUAAUUUUAUCUUUACCAUUCUGAUUGUAGGAAACUCUCCAGUGUAUGUACAUGUUUUGGAUAUAGAGAUUGGGAACAUGUAGGAAAGCAUUCUAAAUCUGAAUUACCACUUUUGAUGGUUAUGUAAGUUUAUAAUAUAUUUUUGUUGGAUUGCAUACUCUUUAUUUGAUAGNNNNNNNNNNNNNCAUGUACUGAUUGCUUGUAGAAUUUUUGCUUGUGCUUUUUCUCUUCUAAUUUGGUAGUUUAGAAGCAGUGAUGAUUCUUAUGGACGAUUGUACUUUUUAGCAAUAUUGUGAUCAGAAUUUUGUAUUCUAUGUAGGUUAUACAUUUUAUGGAUAUGGUUAUACUUGAAGAACCAAUAGAGGGGUAUCAUUAGUUGAAGCUUGUUUGGAAUCUUCAUUUUUAGUUCUCUUCAUUGACCAACUUAUUAAAAUGAUAUACUAUUCUCAAGUUCUAUCAAUAGACAGACAUUGAUUAUUAUCAUAACUUUCAGGAUAUAUUACAAACUCAAUGGCACUAAGGAUUGGUUGCUUUAAUCAAAGGAAUUUUCUAUUUGUCAUGCGAGAAGUUAAAGUUUGAAAUAAUAUGGUUGGUCUCUUGAACCCUUAAGUUAGCAUGUGAAAAAUUUAAAUUGAACGUGAUGUAUUGUCAGACACUAUUUAUUGUGAGUAUAUAAGUUUUGUUUGUCUUUAGCUUUAGAGCAUACCCUUUUGUUUGUCUUUAGUUAGCAUUUGGUAGAAUUAGAAAAUGUGUCUAAUGCUUAGUAUAUAUCAUAAGUAAAACCGAUACUAUUCUUUGGCACUGAUCUAUUGAUUUGUUCUUUUCUAUUGUGAUUCUUUCUUAUCUUGUAGACAUUUCCUGUUAUGUUUUUAUGGAAUAAUUGGCAAUUGGCAUGACUUAGUUUUUGCAAGGAGUUGAAAAAUUUAAGAGUUAAAGGUAAUAUCUAUAUCUUAUAUAAAGAUCUUUCUUGAUUGAAUCUUCCUGUAUAUUAAGACUUUAGAAGUUUCACCACGGAGGUGAUGGUGAUGAGUUUGUCAGAAUAUUAUUUCAUCAUUUGAAAAGAUUGUGCAGUAUAGAGAGGCUAGAUAGAACACUAGUAAGGUUUAUGAUGCCAUCAUCAACCGAAAAGUAUGUAGAUUGGAAUAAAGACUCAUUUUUUAAAUUAAUUAUAUCUUUAUAGGUGAAAAAAAGAUCAUAUCUAACUCUUAAAUGCCACCAUCUUUGUUUCAUUGUAGAGAGGGCUGAUGUUUAAGUUUCAAUUUCCCAUCUUGGUUGAUUGCUAGUUAACUAUGUGUUGGUAAUCAUUAUCAUAGUAUUUUAAAGAGAUUUAUUCAAUUAUCAUACUUGAGUACCGCUGCUAGUUGUCUUACAGCAAUAGGUUGGAUAUUAUAUAUAGGGAGCUUUUGUAACAUUACUCUUGUGCUUCCAGAGACUGGUUUAUGAAUGACUUUUGGGGAUUUGAGAUUUUGAUUUAUGCAGAAAUUUUGGGACUGUUUUAUUCAUGUAUUAAUUAAGCUUGUUUUGUUGUCUGUUUUAG